Molecule: ribosomal RNA, 247 nt
Filed under: uncultured bacterium
Lineage: Bacteria
Description: partial 16S ribosomal RNA
Rfam family: Bacterial small subunit ribosomal RNA
Source: RNAcentral
AGACGUAGGUAGCAAGCGUUGUCCGGAAUAACUGGGCGUAAAGGGUGCGUAGGCGGUUAUUUAAGUCCGAUGUGAAAGCCCGUGGCUCAACCACGGAAUUGCAUCGGAUACUGGGUGACUAGAGUGCGGAAGAGGUUGACGGAAUUACUAGUGUAGCGGUAGAAUGCGUAGAUAUUAGUAAGAAGACCGGUGGCGAAGGCGGUCAACUGGGACGUAACUGACGCUGAGGCACGAAAGCGUGGGGAGC